This 1454-nucleotide ribosomal RNA is filed under the name uncultured organism. Its description in RNAcentral is "bacterial SSU rRNA". It matches the Rfam family "Bacterial small subunit ribosomal RNA". The record is from RNAcentral.
CUCAGAGCGAACGUUGGCGGCGUGGAUUAGGCAUGCAAGUCGAACGAGAAAGCGCCCUUCGGGGCGUGAGUACAGUGGCGAACUGGUUAGUAACAGGUGGAUAACGUGCCCUUCAGCGGGGGAUAGCCUCUGGAAACAGGGAUUAAUACCGCGUACGCCCUCCCCAUCACAAGACGGGGAGGGGAAAGACCUCGGUCACUGAAGGAUCGGUCCGUCCCUGAUUAGCUUGUUGGUGAGGUAACGGCUCACCAAGGCGACGAUCAGUAGCUGGUCUGAGAGGAUGGUCAGCAACACUGGGACUGAGAUACGGCCCAGACUCCCACGGGAGGCAGCAGUCUAGAAGCUUCCACAAUGGACGAAAGUCUGAUGGAGCGACGCCGCGUGCGGGAUGAAGCCCUUGCGGGUGUAAACCGCUGUCAGCAGGGAAGAAUGCCCUGAUGGUGAAUCAGGGAGAGACGGUACCUGCAGAGGAAGCACCGGCUAACUCCGUGCCAGCAGCCGCGGUAAUACGGAGGAUGCAGGCGUUAUCCGGAUUUAUUAGGUUUAAAGGGUGUUCAGGCUGCCUGGUAAGUCAGGGGUGAAAGUCGGUUGCUCAACGAUCGAAUUGCCUUUGAAACUGUCAGGCUCGAGUAUGGAUGCGGUAGGCGGAAUGUGUAGUGUAGCGGUGAAAUGCAUAGAUAUUACACAGAACACCGAUUGCGAAGGCAGCUUACCAAACCAGCACUGACGCUGAAGCACGAAAGCGUGGGGAGCGAACAGGAUUAGAUACCCUGGUAGUCCACGCCGUAAACUUUGCUCACUCGCUGUUGGCGAUAGACAGUCAGCGGCCAAGGGAAACCGAUAAGUGAGCCACCUGGGGAGUACGGCCGCAAGGUUGAAACUCAAAGGAAUUGACGGGGGCCCGCACAAGCGGUGGAACAUGUGGUUUAAUUCGAUGAUACGCGAGGAACCUUACCUGGGCUUAAAUGUGAAGUGCAUUGAUUGGAAACAAUCAUUUCCUUCGGGACCCUUUACAAGGUGCUGCAUGGUUGUCGUCAGCUCGUGCCGUGAGGUGUCGGGUUAAGUCCCAUAACGAGCGCAACCCCUAUUGUUAGUUACUAGCGCGUGAUGGCGGGGACUCUAGCGAAACUGCCGGUGUAAACCGCGAGGAAGGUGGGGAUGACGUCAAAUCAGCACGGCCCUUAUGUCCAGGGCUACACACGUGUUACAAUGGCCGGUACAGCGGGCAGCUAGGCAGCGAUGUCAUGCUAAUCCCGAAAGCCGGUCCCAGUUCGGAUUGGAGUCUGCAACCCGACUCCAUGAAGGUGGAAUCGCUAGUAAUCGCGCAUCAGCCAUGGCGCGGUGAAUACGUUCNCCGGGCCUUGUACACACCGCCCGUCAAGCCAUGGAAGUCUGGGUGCCUGAAGCCGUAACCGCAAGGAGCGGUCUAGGGUAAACAGAUGACUGGGGCUAAG